UGCCAUGGAUAAACCAAGUGUGAUCAGGG
RNAcentral lists this non-coding RNA (29 nucleotides) under Homo sapiens (human). The record is from RNAcentral. Lineage: Eukaryota; Metazoa; Chordata; Mammalia; Primates; Hominidae.